UUAAGCGACUAAGCGUACACGGUGGAUGCCCUGGCAGUCAGAGGCGAUGAAGGACGUGCUAAUCUGCGAAAAGCGUCGGUAAGGUGAUAUGAACCGUUAUAACCGGCGAUGUCCGAAUGGGGAAACCCAGUGCAAUUCGUUGCACUAUCGUUAACUGAAUACAUAGGUUAACGAGGCGAACCGGGGGAACUGAAACAUCUAAGUACCCCGAGGAAAAGAAAUCAACCGAGAUUCCCCCAGUAGCGGCGAGCGAACGGGGAGCAGCCCAGAGUCUGAAUCAGCUUGUGUGUUAGUGGAACGGUCUGGAAAGUCCGACGGUACAGGGUGAUAGUCCCGUACACCAAAAUGCACAGGCUGUGAACUCGAAGAGUAGGGCGGGACACGUGGUAUCCUGUCUGAAUAUGGGGGGACCAUCCUCCAAGGCUAAAUACUCCUGACUGACCGAUAGUGAACCAGUACCGUGAGGGAAAGGCGAAAAGAACCCCGGCGAGGGGAGUGAAAAAGAACCUGAAACCGUGUACGUACAAGCAGUGGGAGCACCUUCGGGUGUGACUGCGUACCUUUUGUAUAAUGGGUCAGCGACUUAUAUUCUGUAGCAAGGUUAACCGUAUAGGGGAGCCGCAGGGAAACCGAGUCUUAACUGGGCGUUAAGUUGCAGGGUAUAGACCCGAAACCCGGUGAUCUAGCCAUGGGCAGGUUGAAGGUUGGGUAACACUAACUGGAGGACCGAACCGACUAAUGUUGAAAAAUUAGCGGAUGACUUGUGGCUGGGGGUGAAAGGCCAAUCAAACCGGGAGAUAGCUGGUUCUCCCCGAAAGCUAUUUAGGUAGCGCCUCGUGAAUUCAUCUUCGGGGGUAGAGCACUGUUUCGGCUAGGGGGUCAUCCCGACUUACCAACCCGAUGCAAACUACGAAUACCGAAGAAUGUUAUCACGGGAGACACACGGCGGGUGCUAACGUCCGUCGUGAAGAGGGAAACAACCCAGACCGCCAGCUAAGGUCCCAAAGUCAUGGUUAAGUGGGAAACGAUGUGGGAAGGCACAGACAGCCAGGAUGUUGGCUUAGAAGCAGCCAUCAUUUAAAGAAAGCGUAAUAGCUCACUGGUCGAGUCGGCCUGCGCGGAAGAUGUAACGGGGCUAAACCAUGCACCGAAGCUGCGGCAGCGACACUAUGUGUUGUUGGGUAGGGGAGCGUUCUGUAAGCCUGCGAAGGUGUGCUGUGAGGCAUGCUGGAGGUAUCAGAAGUGCGAAUGCUGACAUAAGUAACGAUAAAGCGGGUGAAAAGCCCGCUCGCCGGAAGACCAAGGGUUCCUGUCCAACGUUAAUCGGGGCAGGGUGAGUCGACCCCUAAGGCGAGGCCGAAAGGCGUAGUCGAUGGGAAACAGGUUAAUAUUCCUGUACUUGGUGUUACUGCGAAGGGGGGACGGAGAAGGCUAUGUUAGCCGGGCGACGGUUGUCCCGGUUUAAGCAUGUAGGCUGGUUAUCCAGGCAAAUCCGGAUAAUCAAGGCUGAGGUGUGAUGACGAGGCACUACGGUGCUGAAGUAACAAAUGCCCUGCUUCCAGGAAAAGCCUCUAAGCAUCAGGUAACAUCAAAUCGUACCCCAAACCGACACAGGUGGUCAGGUAGAGAAUACCAAGGCGCUUGAGAGAACUCGGGUGAAGGAACUAGGCAAAAUGGUGCCGUAACUUCGGGAGAAGGCACGCUGGUGUGUAGGUGAAGCCCCUGCGGGUGGAGCUGAGACCAGUCGAAGAUACCAGCUGGCUGCAACUGUUUAUUAAAAACACAGCACUGUGCAAACACGAAAGUGGACGUAUACGGUGUGACGCCUGCCCGGUGCCGGAAGGUUAAUUGAUGGGGUUAUCCGUAAGGAGAAGCUCUUGAUCGAAGCCCCGGUAAACGGCGGCCGUAACUAUAACGGUCCUAAGGUAGCGAAAUUCCUUGUCGGGUAAGUUCCGACCUGCACGAAUGGCGUAAUGAUGGCCAGGCUGUCUCCACCCGAGACUCAGUGAAAUUGAACUCGCUGUGAAGAUGCAGUGUACCCGCGGCAAGACGGAAAGACCCCGUGAACCUUUACUAUAGCUUGACACUGAACAUUGAGCCUUGAUGUGUAGGAUAGGUGGGAGGCUUUGAAGCGUGGACGCCAGUCUGCGUGGAGCCAACCUUGAAAUACCACCCUUUAAUGUUUGAUGUUCUAACGUUGGCCCCUUACCGGGGUUGCGGACAGUGUCUGGUGGGUAGUUUGACUGGGGCGGUCUCCUCCCAAAGCGUAACGGAGGAGCACGAAGGUUAGCUAAUCCUGGUCGGACAUCAGGAGGUUAGUGCAAUGGCAUAAGCUAGCUUGACUGCGAGCGUGACGGCGCGAGCAGGUGCGAAAGCAGGUCAUAGUGAUCCGGUGGUUCUGAAUGGAAGGGCCAUCGCUCAACGGAUAAAAGGUACUCCGGGGAUAACAGGCUGAUACCGCCCAAGAGUUCAUAUCGACGGCGGUGUUUGGCACCUCGAUGUCGGCUCAUCACAUCCUGGGGCUGAAGUAGGUCCCAAGGGUAUGGCUGUUCGCCAUUUAAAGUGGUACGCGAGCUGGGUUUAGAACGUCGUGAGACAGUUCGGUCCCUAUCUGCCGUGGGCGCUGGAGAAUUGAGGGGGGCUGCUCCUAGUACGAGAGGACCGGAGUGGACGCAUCACUGGUGUUCGGGUUGUCAUGCCAAUGGCACUGCCCGGUAGCUAAAUGCGGAAGAGAUAAGUGCUGAAAGCAUCUAAGCACGAAACUUGCCCCGAGAUGAGUUCUCCCUGAGACU
This 2792-nucleotide ribosomal RNA is filed under the name Klebsiella pneumoniae. RNAcentral's name for it is "bacterial LSU rRNA". It matches the Rfam family "Bacterial large subunit ribosomal RNA". The record is from RNAcentral. Lineage: Bacteria; Pseudomonadati; Pseudomonadota; Gammaproteobacteria; Enterobacterales; Enterobacteriaceae.